This 848-nucleotide ribosomal RNA is filed under the name uncultured bacterium. RNAcentral describes it as "bacterial SSU rRNA". It matches the Rfam family "Bacterial small subunit ribosomal RNA", at positions 54 to 904 of the family's 1533-position model. The record is from RNAcentral.
CAUGCAAGUCGAACGGUAACAGGGUAGCAAUACCGCUGACGAGUGGCGCACGGGUGCGUAACGCGUAUGCAACUUACCUUAAACUGGGAGAUAGCCCCUCGAAAGAGGGAUUAAUACCCCAUAGUAAUUAGAUGAGGCAUCUCAUUUAGUUUAAAGCUCCGGCGGUUUAAGAUAGGCAUGCGUGACAUUAGCUAGUUGGUGAGGUAAUGGCUCACCAAGGCUACGAUGUCUAGGGGUUCUGAGAGGAUGAUCCCCCACACUGGUACUGAGACACGGACCAGACUCCUACGGGAGGCAGCAGUAAGGAAUAUUGGUCAAUGGGCGCAAGCCUGAACCAGCCAUGCCGCGUGAAGGAUGACGGCCCUAUGGGUUGUAAACUUCUUUUGUAUGGGAAUAAACCCAGGUACGUGUACCUGGCUGAAUGUACCGUAAGAAUAAGGAUCGGCUAACUCCGUGCCAGCAGCCGCGGUAAUACGGAGGAUCCAAGCGUUAUCCGGAUUCAUUGGGUUUAAAGGGUGCGUAGGCGGACUUAUAAGUCAGUGGUGAAAUCCUGCAGCUUAACUGCAGAACUGCCAUUGAUACUGUAAGUCUUGAGUGUGUUUGAAGUGGGCGGAAUGUGUCAUGUAGCGGUGAAAUGCUUAGAUAUGACACAGAACACCGAUUGCGUAGGCAGCUCACUAAACCACAACUGACGCUGAGGCACGACAGCGUGGGGAUCAAACAGGAUUAGAUACCCUGGUAGUCCACGCCGUAACUAUGAUUACUCGAUGUUGGCGAUAUACAGUCAGCGUCUAAGCUAAAGCGUUAAGUAAUCCACCUGGGGAGUACGGUCGCAGAUUGAAACUCAA